Molecule: long non-coding RNA, 1990 nt
Filed under: Xyrichtys novacula (pearly razorfish)
Lineage: Eukaryota; Metazoa; Chordata; Actinopteri; Labriformes; Labridae
Source: RNAcentral
GGCCAAUCUACACCCCAUGGCCAUUAAAAGUUGUACAAAUCAUGACGCUGCACCCCACGGUUUACGUUCUAGGGGGCGCCAAAGAUAACCCAAAAAUCCACAUUCUUAAAAGUCUAAUAACUUUUUAUUUUUGUCCUCACUGGCCUCCAAGUUUUCUAGGAUGAUGCAAUGUCCAGCCAUCAACACAUUUGUGAAGGAAUUUUUACCCCCAAAAGAGCGCCCCCCAUGGCAGGAGAAAAAAGUCCAUUUUUUCUUGUCCCCUAAGGUGAAAAUACAUAUUGUUGAGUGUCACGCCUAUACGCUUUGUCAUAUUGACACAAAAUUUGACACACACGUGUAUCUCAAUAAGAUCUACAAAAAAGUCUAUGCGCACGUAUCUGUCAAAUGUACGGUUAAAGGGUUAUUUCGCAUUUUUUGCCGAUCGCACACAUUGGAAUUUCGCUAACUCCUCCUAAAGCUUUCGUUCCACCGGCACCAAAUUUGCUCAGGCCAAUCUACACCCCAUGGCCAUUAAAAGUUGUACAAAUCAUGAUGCUGCACCCCACGGUUUACGUCCUAGGGGGCGCCAAAGAUAACCCAAAAAUCCACAGUCUUAAAAGUCUUAUAACUUUUUAUUUUUGUCCUCACUGGCCUCCAAGUUUUGUAGGAUGAUGCAAUGUCCAGCCAUCAACACAUUUGUGAAGGAAUUUUUACUCCCCAAAAGAGCGCCCCCCAUGGCAAGAGAAAAAAGUCCAUUUUUCUUGUCCCAUAAGGUGAAAAUACACAUUGUUGAGUGUCACGCCUGUACGCUUUGUCAUAUUGAAACAAAAUUUGACAAUCACGUGUAUCUCAAUAAGAUCUACGAAAAAGUCAAUGCGCACGUAUCUGUAAAAUGUACGGUUAAAGGGCUAUUACGCAUUUUUGAUCGAUUCGCACACAUUGGAAUGUGGCUGACUCCUCCUAAAGCUUUCGUUCCACCGGCACCAAAUUUGCUCAGGCCAAUCUACACCCCAUGGCCAUUAAAAGUUGUACAAAUCAUGACGCUGCACCCCACGGUUUACGUUCUAGGGGGCGCCAAAGAUAACCCAAAAAUCCACAUUCUUAAAAGUCUUAUAACUUUUAAUUUUUGUCCUCACUGGCUUCCAAGUUUUCUAGGAUGAUGCAAUGUCUAGCCAUCAACACAUUUGUGAAGGAAUUUUUACUCCUCAAAAGAGCGCCCCCCCAUGGCAGGAGAAAAAGUCAAGUUUUUCCUGCCCAUCGCUCAAUGGCUCAAACACAUGUCAUGUGUUCAAACUCCUCCGAAAGGAGGAGCAACUUGCCAUUUGGAUAUAUCCUAGCUGUGUUUGUGCCCUCACUCAUGGUCCAGACUUUUUUCAAAUAGGACAUGUAGUUUGUCUGCAGCGAGCGUUUUGGUAGAAACUGCGCCUCCCAUUCAUUAUAAUGGUAAAUGACCACAGACAAGUGCGAGCACCAUCUUUGGACCUUGAGUGUGACGCGAUCGGGAGGGAGAGGCGGUCGUGUUGGGGGCGGCGCGACACAGCUCGGGCCCGCCAGUGCCCCAACGGGGCCCUAGUUCUUCUUUUUCCUCCCCUUUGAACUGGAAAAUGGCCCACUUCCCACUGGCGAAAACUCAUGAAAUUUGGCAGGACGACCGGGCCUGGUGAAAAAUUCGAUAUUCUGAAGUCGCCCAAACAAUAAAAUGCAAAAUGGCUCCAUAGCGCCCCCUAAGGUGGAAAUUCACACUAUUGACUGUCACGCCUGUACGCUUUGUCAUAUUGACACAAAAAUUGACACACAUAUGUAUCUCAAUAAGAUCUACAAAAAAGUCAGUGCGGCCGUAUCUGUCAAAAUUACGGUUAAAGGGUUAUUUCGCAUUUUUUGCCGAUCCGCACACAUUGGAAUUUCGCUAACUCCUCCGAAGGCUUUCGUUCCACCGGCACCACAUUUGCUCAGGCCAAUCUACACCCCGUGGCCAUUAAAAGUUAUCAAAAUCAUGACGCUGCACCCCAAG